UGGGGAAUUUUGGACAAUGGGCGCAAGCCUGAUCCAGCCAUUCCGCGUGCAGGAUGAAGGCCCUCGGGUUGUAAACUGCUUUUGUACGGAACGAAAAAGGCUCUGGUUAAUACCUGGAGCUGAUGACGGUACCGUAAGAAUAAGCACCGGCUAACUACGUGCCAGCAGCCGCGGUAAUACGUAGGGUGCAAGCGUUAAUCGGAAUUACUGGGCGUAAAGCGUGCGCAGGCGGUGAUGUAAGACAGAUGUGAAAUCCCCGGGCUCAACCUGGGAACUGCAUUUGUGGCUGCAUCGCUGGAGUGCGGCAGAGGGGGGAUGGAAUUCCGCGUGUAGCAGUGAAAUGCGUAGAUAUGCGGAGGAACACCGAUGGCGAAGGCAAUCCCCUGGGCCUGCACUGACGCUCAUGCACGAAAGCGUGGGGAGCAAACAGGAUUAGAUACCCUGGUAGUCCACGCCCUAAAACGAUGUCAACUGGUUGUUGGGUCUUCACUGACUCAGUAACGAAGCUAACGCGU
Molecule: ribosomal RNA, 515 nt
Filed under: uncultured bacterium
Lineage: Bacteria
Description: partial 16S ribosomal RNA
Rfam family: Bacterial small subunit ribosomal RNA
Source: RNAcentral